This 70-nucleotide transfer RNA is filed under the name Podarcis lilfordi (Lilford's wall lizard). RNAcentral's name for it is "tRNA.Lys". The stretch from base 4 to 61 matches the Rfam family "tRNA", at positions 8 to 63 of the family's 71-position model. From Rfam's summary of the family: Transfer RNA (tRNA) molecules are approximately 80 nucleotides in length. Their secondary structure includes four short double-helical elements and three loops (D, anti-codon, and T loops). The record is from RNAcentral. Lineage: Eukaryota; Metazoa; Chordata; Lepidosauria; Squamata; Lacertidae.
GGAUAGCUCAGUUGGUAGAGCCUGAGACUCUUAAUCUCAGGGUUGUGGGUUUGAGCCCCACACUGAAGCA